This 1522-nucleotide long non-coding RNA is filed under the name Coturnix japonica (Japanese quail). Its description in RNAcentral is "lncRNA (ENSCJPG00005002683.1)". Lineage: Eukaryota; Metazoa; Chordata; Aves; Galliformes; Phasianidae. The record is from RNAcentral.
CUGGCUCCGCCCCACAAGUGUCCGUGCCCCACAAGUGUCCCUGUCCCACAAGUAACUGCCUCCACCCCACAAGUGUCCCUGCCCCACAAGUGUCUCUGCCCCACAAGUAACUGCCUCCGCCCCACAAGUGUCCCUGCCCCACAAGUGUCCCUGCCCCACAAGUGUCUCUGCCCCACAAGUAACUGGCUCCGCCCCACAAGUGUCUCUGCCCCACAAGUGUCCCUGCCCCACAAGUGUCUCCGCCCCACAAGUGUCCCUGCCCCACAAGUGACUCUGCCCCACAAGUGUCCGUGCCCCACAAGUGACUCUGCCCCACAAGUGUCCGUGCCCCACAAGUGUCCGUGCCCCAUAACUGACUCUGCCCCACAAGUGUCCGUGCCCCACAAGUGUCUCUGCCCCACAAGUGUCCCUGCCCCACAAGUGUCCGUGCCCCACAAGUGUCCCUGCCCCACAAGUGUCCCUGCCCCACAAGUGUCCGUGCCCCACAAGUGUCCCUGCCCCACAAGUGUCCCUGCCCCAUAAGUAACUGUCUCUGCCCCACAAGUGUCCCUGCCCCACAAGUGUCUCUGCCCCAUAAGUAACUGUCUCUGCCCCACAAGUGUCCGUGCCCCACAAGUGUCUCUGCCCCAUAAGUAACUGACUCCGCCCCACAAGUGUCCCUGCCCCACAAGUGUCCCUGCCCCACAAGUGUCUCUGCCCCACAAGUGAAUCACUCUGCCCCACAAGUAACUGCCUCCGCCCCACAAGUCCCUCUGCCCCCCAGACGCUGUGCCAGGUGUCCCUUUACGCCAUGGGCCGCAGCCCGGCGGUGUUCGAGGAGCCGCAGCGUUUCGAUCCGUCUCGUUGGAUUCGUCGCUCCCGGCACGAAACUGCGUUCACGGCGCUGGGCUUCGGCUUCGGAGCGCGGCAGUGCAUCGGGAGGAGGCUGGCCGAGACUGAGAUGGCGCUGUGCAUACAUCACGUGAGAGACCAUAGGGAACCUAUAGACCCUAUAGGGACCCCAUAGGGACACAUAGAGACCCUAUAGGGACACAUAGAGACCCUAUAGGGACACAUAGAGACCCUAUAGACCCUAUAGGGACACAUAGAGACCCUAUAGACCCUAUAGGGACCCUAUAGAGACCAUAUAGGGACACAUAGAGACACAUAGAGACCCUAUAUGAACCCCAUAGAGACCGAGAUGGCGCUGUGCAUCCAUCACGUGAGAUACCCCAUAGACCCUAUAGAGACCCUAUAGAGACCCUAUAGGGACCCCAUAGGGACACAUAGAGACCAUAUAGGGACCCCAUAGAGACCGAGAUGGCGCUGUGCAUCCAUCACGUGAGACCAUAUAGGGAACCUAUAGAGACCCUAUAGAGACCCUAUAGGGACCCCAUAGAGACCCUAUAGAGACCCUAUAGGGACACAUAGGGACACAUUGAGACCCUAUAGGGACCCCAUAGAGACCGAGAUGGCGCUGUGCAUCCACCACGUGAGAGAACCCAUAGACCCUAUAGGGAACCUAUAGAGACCCUAUAGAGAC